RNAcentral lists this ribosomal RNA (643 nucleotides) under uncultured bacterium. RNAcentral's name for it is "bacterial SSU rRNA". It matches the Rfam family "Bacterial small subunit ribosomal RNA", at positions 232 to 885 of the family's 1533-position model. The record is from RNAcentral.
CGCGGCCUAUCAGCUUGUUGGUGAGGUAAUGGCUCACCAAGGCGACGACGGGUAGCCGGCCUGAGAGGGUGACCGGCCACACUGGGACUGAGACACGGCCCAGACUCCUACGGGAGGCAGCAGUGGGGAAUAUUGCACAAUGGGCGAAAGCCUGAUGCAGCGACGCCGCGUGAGGGAUGACGGCCUUCGGGUUGUAAACCUCUUUCAGUAGGGAAGAAGCGAAAGUGACGGUACCUGCAGAAGAAGCACCGGCUAACUACGUGCCAGCAGCCGCGGUAAUACGUAGGGUGCGAGCGCUAUCCGGAAUUAUUGGGCGUAAAGAGCUCGUAGGCGGUUUGUCGCGUCUGUCGUGAAAGUCCGGGGCUUAACCCCGGAUCUGCGGUGGGUACGGGCAGACUAGAGUGCAGUAGGGGAGACUGGAAUUCCUGGUGUAGCGGUGGAAUGCGCAGAUAUCAGGAGGAACACCGAUGGCGAAGGCAGGUCUCUGGGCUGUAACUGACGCUGAGGAGCGAAAGCAUGGGGAGCGAACAGGAUUAGAUACCCUGGUAGUCCAUGCCGUAAACGUUGGGCACUAGGUGUGGGGAACAUUCCACGUUUUCCGCGCCGCAGCUAACGCAUUAAGUGCCCCGCCUGGGGAGUACGG